GACGAACGCUGGCGGCGUGCUUAACACAUGCAAGUCGAACGCUGAAGACCUGGCUUUGGUUGGGUUGGAUGAGUGGCGAACGGGUGAGUAACACGUGAGUAACCUGCCCUCUUGUUUGGGAUAACGUCCGGAAACGGGUGCUAAUACCGGAUAUUCACUUAUCUCCGCAUGGGGGAGGGUGGAAGGGGUUGUUCCGGUGGGGGAUGGGCUCGCGGCCUAUCAGUUUGUUGGUGGGGUGAUGGCCUACCAAGGCUUUGACGGGUAGCCGGCCUGAGGGGGGGACCGGUGACAUUGGAACUGCGCUACGGCCCAGAGGACGACGGGAGGCGGCAGUGUGGAAUAUUGCGCAAUGGCCGAACGCCUGAUGCAGCGACGCCGCGUGAGGGAUGGAGGCCUUCAGGUUGUAAUCCUCUUUCACUCAUGGUCAAGCCGCAAAUGGGGCUUGUGGUGACGGUAGUGAGUAAAGAAGCGACGGCUAACUACGUG
This 486-nucleotide ribosomal RNA is filed under the name uncultured bacterium. RNAcentral describes it as "partial 16S ribosomal RNA". It matches the Rfam family "Bacterial small subunit ribosomal RNA", at positions 28 to 507 of the family's 1533-position model. The record is from RNAcentral.